This 509-nucleotide long non-coding RNA is filed under the name Mus pahari (shrew mouse). Its description in RNAcentral is "predicted gene, 39075 (MGP_PahariEiJ_G0004157.1)". Lineage: Eukaryota; Metazoa; Chordata; Mammalia; Rodentia; Muridae. The record is from RNAcentral.
CCUUUGGUUCCAUAAGACUAAGAGAACUUACAUGGAUGACUGUGAGCCAGGAACAUGUAUUCAGCCGGAUACAUCAGUAGGCAGGUGCAAAGUGUGUGUGGGAGAUUUCCAUUGGUCUCAGAUGCUAUCUAAUGGCAUUCUUGGCGUUCAGAUUGGUGGAAGCCAGUGGCCUGAAGAACCAAAUUGCACAGGACCGAAGUGGACUCUGGCAACACCUUGGAGGAAAAAUAAAAAAAACCCAACCACGCAUGUUUCAAGGUACCAAGCACAAGGAAUUUAUCCAAUUUAAUUUUCAGCUCUCUCCACAGAUCUUUUUGUAUCUCCUGCACCCAGCAUAGGAUUGUGUGCUUCAGAAGAACAGCAUACAUAUUUAUAGGAUCAGUUCAAGCUUCUAAGCACAGUAGAUAAAGUGAUGAACAAGACAGAUGACUAUCUGCCCUUGUGGUCCAUACACUCAGCUGGGAAGACCUGGUAAACAAAAGUCACAUUGGGGUACAUACAGCCUCUCC